GACGAACGCUGGCGGCGUGCCUAAUGCAUGCAAGUCGCACGCACCCCUCGGGGUGAGUGGCGCACGGCUGAGGAACACGUGGGAAUGUGCCCAUUGGUGGGGGAUAACGGGCCGAAAGGUCCGCUAAGCCCGCAUACGCUCGCAAGAGGAAAGGCGCAAGUCGCCGAUGGAGCAGCCCGCGGCCCAUCAGGUCGUUGGUGGGGUAACGGCCUACCAAGCCAAUGACGGGUAGCUGGUCUGAGAGGACAGACAGCCAGACUGGGACUGAGACACGGCCCAGACUCCUACGGGAGGCAGCAGCAAGGAAUUUUCGUCAAUGGGCGCAAGCCUGAACGAGCAACGCCGCGUGCAGGAUGACGGCUUUCGGGUUGUAAACUGCUUUUUGGGGGGACGAUCAUGACGGUACCCCCGGAAUAAGCCCCGGCUCACUCUGUGCCAGCAGCCGCAGUAAAAC
RNAcentral lists this ribosomal RNA (454 nucleotides) under uncultured bacterium. RNAcentral's name for it is "bacterial SSU rRNA". It matches the Rfam family "Bacterial small subunit ribosomal RNA", at positions 28 to 526 of the family's 1533-position model. The record is from RNAcentral.